GACCUGAUGGUGUAGUGGUAACAUGCCUGCUGGAUUUGGGAAGCUUUCCAUUAGUCAGUUAAGCAGGAGGCCCCGGUUUGAACCCGGGUCAGGUCA
This is a non-coding RNA of Mycena leptocephala, 96 nucleotides long. The record is from the annotation of a GenBank genome assembly. Lineage: Eukaryota; Fungi; Basidiomycota; Agaricomycetes; Agaricales; Mycenaceae.